AUGGCCGCUUGUGGGGACAGACCUGGUGUCCUUAAACCCAUCUUCAGCCACCUGUGGGGCCAUGACAAGGACAGGCCUGGUGUCCCCAGUCCAACCUUCAGCCACUUGUGGGGCCAUGCUUGGGAACAGGCCAGGUGCCCCCAAACCCACCCAUGGCCACUUGUGGGGCCACGCUGUGCCACGUCCCCAUCCAGCCAGCACCCAGAGGGCAGGGAUAUGGCGCGUGCCCACCACAGGGACAGGGACCCUGAUGCCACUGCGAUGCCAAGGGGGGCACAGACAUCACCCCCAGUCCCCAUAAAUCCUGCAGGGGUGCAAUGGAGCCGUGGGGGCCGCCCCACAUCUCACCCAGAUGCCAAGCAUCUCCCAGCACCCCGGCUGCCAUGUGGUGUGGGCACGGGGCGGGCACGGCGGGGCUCCCCCCGGCGCGAGGGAACUCCCCCCAGUUUGCCCCAGUUCUGGGCAGCCCGGCUGCUGGCGCGCGGCCCGGUGAGCAAUGCGUGCUCUGACUGCCUUUUUCCAUUUGGCUGCUGGACGAGUCCGUCCCCGAAAGAAAACAAGGAAAGUGCAUCCAUCUCCACGGCCCCUCCUCCCCGCAUCCGAUUCUCCCAGUUCGGAAAAAUCCGUGCUUGGGUUUGCAUUGGGAACAGCCCCCGUGCCCCAAAUCCCAGCUGGGAGGUGGCAAAGCGCGGCCACCAAACCCUCCAAAAAGCUUCUCCUCCUCCUUAUUUUCUUGCUUCCCUCCCUGCAAUCGCAGCGAGGAAAGGGCGAAGCAGAGCGCAGGGUCUCAGUGCAGCCGGGAGGAGCUGCGCCUCGGCCACCGCAGCCCUGUCCCCAAGCGACCUCACUGCUCCCUGCCCAGCACAGGGCCUCAGCCCCACAGCAGCCCCACAGCAGCCCCACACCGGCUCCACUGCCCCAGCACAGCCCCUGCUGUCCCCCGACCCAGCACAGCCCACCAGCACAGCUCCACCAACCCCAAAAGUCCCCCCAUGCACAAACCCCAUUAUUUUCCAGCACAACCCCACCCUGGAAGCUGAUGGUUGCUACUCCAGAUCCAUUUUUUCCCCCUCCUGA
Molecule: long non-coding RNA, 1077 nt
Filed under: Pavo cristatus (Indian peafowl)
Lineage: Eukaryota; Metazoa; Chordata; Aves; Galliformes; Phasianidae
Description: lncRNA (ENSPSTG00000017917.1)
Source: RNAcentral